Molecule: ribosomal RNA, 460 nt
Filed under: uncultured bacterium
Lineage: Bacteria
Description: partial 16S ribosomal RNA
Rfam family: Bacterial small subunit ribosomal RNA
Source: RNAcentral
CCUACGGGUGGCAGCAGUGAGGAAUAUUGGUCAAUGGGCGUAAGCCUGAACCAGCCAAGUCGCGUGAGGGAUGAAGGAUCUAUGGAUCGUAAACCUCUUUUAUAAGGGAAUAAAGUGAGGGACGUGUCCCGUUUUGUAUGUACCAUAUGAAUAAGGAUCGGCUAACUCCGUGCCAGCAGCCGCGGUAAUACGGAGGAUGCGAGCGUUAUCCGGAUUUAUUGGGUUUAAAGGGUGCGUAGGGGGCAAAGUAAGUCAGCGGUGAAAGUCUGUGGCCCAACCAUAGAAUUGCCGUUGAAACUGGGUGGCUUGAGUAUAUUUGAGGUAGGCGGAAUGCGUGGUGUAGCGGUGAAAUGCAUAGAUAUCACGCAGAACCCCGAUUGCGAAGGCAGCUUACUAAACUAUAACUGACGCUGAGGCACGAAAGCGUGGGGAUCAAACAGGAUUAGAUACCCCUGUAGUC